Paramisgurnus dabryanus is the source of this 326-nucleotide long non-coding RNA. RefSeq lists it as uncharacterized. The record is from RefSeq and is a predicted model, not a curated record. Lineage: Eukaryota; Metazoa; Chordata; Actinopteri; Cypriniformes; Cobitidae.
UGUCUUGACAUUUUCAAGUCCAAGGGUGGAUGUACCGGCCAGAUACUUAAGGCGUAUUUGCAUCAUCAAAUCGCACUGGGGAAUACAGAUGUUACUGCUAAGUGAACAGCAGUCCUCCGUGGCCUUCCCAUCCUCCUUGGAGAUGAGAACAAAGACUUCUUCAAGACAUACUUUGACUGUGAUGAACCUGAACUGGCCAACACCUCCAUUGAGAUCCUAACAGUAAUCCCUGAAGGUACCCCACUUCAAGGAACACACCAACAUUUUGGGUUUUUAGCUUAUUCACUGUAUUCCCCAGAGUUACAUAAGUCCAUACAUACCAUUUU